AUUCCUGCACUCCCUUUUUCUGCUCUGCUUGGAGAGGUGGGUGAUGGCUGGAGAUGACUUCAGAUUGAUGAGGGAACUAAGUGUUGGGGGUUCAACAAAAAAGAACCUGUUAAAGUGGCCUAAAACCCAGCUACAAGGUCUCCUCUCCACUCCUAGAUGAAAAAAAUGAAUGUAAACCGGGCCCCAUCAGCUGCUUUCCAGCACUUUAUUUUACUCUGCUCUGGGAUCUGAUUCUCAGAGGGUCUCCUUUCCUCUUUGUAUGGACUUCCUGGAAGGAGUGAAACAUCUAAAAGAACCCCUGAAGGACCACAUCUACAAAUUCCUGCAUUAGAGACAGAGUCCCCAACACGGAGGAAUUGGGGAGAAUUAAAACUUCAGGAUUUAGGAAGCCUUUGACUGUAAUCUCAAUCCUGGGGGCCUGUGCUGCUGCCUCAGCUUUCUCACUAGAAUUCCCUCUGCGGAUCCUCUUCUGUCUUCUCUGGACAGUUCUCUUUCUCCCACCUCCCUGGAGCCAUGCUCCUCCAAGCAGAGAAGGGCAGCUCUACAGAAGUCCCUCCUGUGGGACUGGAGGCUUCUUCAAAGCCAGAGAGCACUGCAGGUGGUGUCAGGGUUAGGUUACUGUCAGCCCACCGCAGUCUAGACUCACCUGGGAAGAGUCUCUGUGAAAGGCACGGGCAUGCCUGUGAGGAAUGGCUAUUACCUGAGAAGACUCAGACUACCAUCACCAUUCUCCUAGGUUGGGGCCUUGGACUGUGUCAGAGUAGAGACA
Molecule: long non-coding RNA, 769 nt
Organism: Meriones unguiculatus (Mongolian gerbil)
Lineage: Eukaryota; Metazoa; Chordata; Mammalia; Rodentia; Muridae
Exons: 3
Source: RefSeq, a predicted model, not a curated record